GAUGAACGCUAGCUACAGGCUUAACACAUGCAAGUCGAGGGGCAGCAUGGUCUUAGCUUGCUAAGGCCGUAUGGCGACCGGCGCACGGGUGAGUAACACGUAUCCAACCUGCCGUCUACUCUUGGACAGCCUUCUGAAAAGGAAGAAUUAAUACAAGAUGGCAUCAUGAGUCCACAUGUUCACAUGAUUAAAGGUAUUCCGGUAGACGAAUGGGGAUGCGUUCCAUUAGAUAGUAGGCGGGGUAAUGGCCCACCUAGUCUUCGAUGGAUAGGGGUUCUGAGAGGAAAGGUCCCCCACAUUGGAACUGAGACACGGUCCAAACUCCUACGGGAGGCAGCAGUGAGGAAUAUUGGUCAAUGGGCGAGAGCCUGAACCAGCCAAGUAGCGUGAAGGAAUGACUGCCCUAUGGGUUGUAAACUUCUUUUAUAAAGGAAAUAAAGUCGGGUAUGCAUACCCGUUUUGCAUGUACUUUUAUGAAAUAAGGAUCGGCUAACUCCGUGCCAGCAGCCGCGGUAAUACGGAGGAUCCGAGCGUUAUCCGGAUUUAUUGGGUUUAAAAGGGAGCGUAGAUGGAUGUUUAAGUCAGUUGUGAAAGUUUGCGGCUCAACCGUAAAAUUGCAGUUGAUACUGGAUAUCUUGAGUGCAGUUGAGGCAGGCGGAAUUCGUGGUGUAGCGGUGAAAUGCUUAGAUAUCACGAAGAACUCCGAUUGCGAAGGCAGCCUGCUAAGCUGCAACUGACAUUGAGGCUCGAAAGUGUGGGUAUCAAACAGGAUUAGAUACCCUGGUAGUCCACACGGUAAACGAUGAAUACUCGCUGUUUGCGAUAUACAGCAAGCGGCCAAGCGAAAGCGUUAAGUAUUCCACCUGGGGAGUACGCCGGCAACGGUGAAACUCAAAGGAAUUGACGGGGGCCCGCACAAGCGGAGGAACAUGUGGUUUAAUUCGAUGAUACGCGAGGAACCUUACCCGGGCUUAAAUUGCAGAUGAAUUACGGUGAAAGCCGUAAGCCGCAAGGCAUCUGUGAAGGUGCUGCAUGGUUGUCGUCAGCUCGUGCCGUGAGGUGUCGGCUUAAGUGCCAUAACGAGCGCAACCCUUGUUGUCAGUUACUAACAGGUUCCGCUGAGGACUCUGACAAGACUGCCAUCGUAAGAUGUGAGGAAGGUGGGGAUGACGUCAAAUCAGCACGGCCCUUACGUCCGGGGCUACACACGUGUUACAAUGGGGGGUACAGAGGGCCGCUACCACGCGAGUGGAUGCCAAUCCCAAAAACCUCUCUCAGUUCGGACUGGAGUCUGCAACCCGACUCCACGAAGCUGGAUUCGCUAGUAAUCGCGCAUCAGCCACGGCGCGGUGAAUACGUUCCCGGGCCU
This 1369-nucleotide ribosomal RNA is filed under the name uncultured bacterium. Its description in RNAcentral is "bacterial SSU rRNA". It matches the Rfam family "Bacterial small subunit ribosomal RNA", at positions 28 to 1381 of the family's 1533-position model. The record is from RNAcentral.